CUGUAGAGGCGGUGGCUUGCAAAAGCCAUAGUUGACCAGCCUAAGGAACUGACUCGAAGGACAAGGGGAUGAUGUUCCUACGUUAUCCCUGUCAGGGCACUCUGGGGUGCGUCCCAAGCUCCAGACACUGCCGUGCAGGCUUAAACAGUCUUGAGUGGUAGGGACAGUGGUCUGCACACAGCAAGCAGGGAUAACAUUGGCGAUGGGAGAUGCAG
Non-coding RNA from Fervidicola ferrireducens, 215 nucleotides. It matches the Rfam family "HNH endonuclease-associated RNA and ORF (HEARO) RNA". The record is from Rfam. NCBI's taxonomy places the organism in Bacteria, Bacillati, Bacillota, Clostridia, Thermosediminibacterales, Thermosediminibacteraceae.